UCCUUUUUGUUUGUGAGACGGGGUCUCACUAUGUACUCCUGGUUGUUCUUAGACCAGACUGGCUUUGAACUCAGAGACUUGCUUACCUCUGCCUCCAGAGUGCUAGGAUUAAAAGCAUGUACAACACCCCCAUUCCAAUGCAGGCCCCCAGGGGCUGCAUUUCAAAGGCACUCUUCCUAAUCCAGCUUUAAUAUUGGACAAGGGAUAUGCUGCUUUGGUACACGAUUCUGUGAAUUCAGGAAACUUGGUGCUGAUGGGAUUAUUUUGUUAGGGGGAAACAAAAAAAGACCCCAUCAAGGGUUUCUGUAAUGACUAUCCUUUGGGCUUUUGGAACAGUUGUACCAUGUUUUCAAGAGCAGUCAGGCAGUACUGUAGGCAGACCACAUAUCUUCCCUUGUGACAUCACUGCCUGAAUCUCAUAGGAGCAGUUCGGAACCCGAGGUAGAUCAGAAGCGUUUAGCAUUGGCCUGACUCCAGUCCGUUUUUAAGCUUCCUGUUGCUGUGGUGAUUUAAUGCCAGCCUCUAGUUACUAGAUGCUCUCAGGGAACUUACCUCCCCUGCUUGCCCUAGCCUCUCACAUGUAACAUCUGGCCUCAGCAUCUGGACCCCUCUGGAUCCCGCCUCUGACUUCAGCUAAAGCUUUGCAGCAGGGCUCCUCCUGGGUUUGGGAGGUGUUUCCUGAGUGUUCCCAGCCCAAUGGAUGGCUUCCAUAUUUCCCCAGCCCCGUCCCUCCUGUAGCAUAAGUGAAAUGCACUACUAAACAGAACUGUUUUUCAGAAGGGAGUGUUUUUGUAUGGGAGUCACACUUGUGUCAGUUAAAAUAGCACAGUGACCAUAAAUGGAAUCCUAAAGUGAAACUUCAGGAUUUGAAACUUUUCUUUGAUAAACUUUUUUUUUAAAUAUAAAUGUAUGUAGCCAUCUUCAUACCAAAUUCAGGAUCUUAUGAGCUAUACAGAUCAUUUUGUGUGGUCUAAUGUCUAAGAAUGGUGCUGAAAACUAAAAAAGUAUACUUGGCUCCUGUGUAGCAAUGGGUCAACUUCUCUGCCUUGAUUUGACCUCUUUAGAAGGCUGUUACAGCCAUGGAACAUGGUAGGCUAGGAGUGUUAUAAAGAGAUUAACAUUAAGAUGGCCACGAACUCACUUUUUUUUUUAUGAGUACUGUGAUUUAAUAUUUGUCUUUAAUUUUAC
This 1188-nucleotide long non-coding RNA is filed under the name Rattus norvegicus (Norway rat). RNAcentral's name for it is "long non-coding RNA NONRATT007822". Lineage: Eukaryota; Metazoa; Chordata; Mammalia; Rodentia; Muridae. The record is from RNAcentral.